Molecule: long non-coding RNA, 1482 nt
Organism: Gallus gallus (chicken)
Lineage: Eukaryota; Metazoa; Chordata; Aves; Galliformes; Phasianidae
Source: Ensembl
GUGAAAAUGGCUCCUGGAAAUGCCGCUUUAGAUUAGAGAUCGACGGCUGGAGAGAAUGCAGACCCACCGCCUCACAGAAAUCUCCUCGCUGUCAUGAAGGCUUACAUACAAAUUCUGCACAAACGAACAGAAAGCGGAACCUGGGAAUGAUGGAAAGGCAAAUUGAAUUCAGAUUUGAAUUUUGUAUUUGAUGCCUGUAUACAAUGGGGAUGAGUGCACUGAGAAGCAAUGCACAGAUAGGCAGACGGAUCUCCUGCCCGUGCUCCUAUUUUAAAGACCCAUUCAUUUUGCACCUGAAGGAUGAAUUCUUCCUCCCACUCUCCUCCUUCCUCUCAUCUUCUAUGAUUUGCGUGAUCUUUGCUGCAUACCUUACAAACCACUGUUGACCUUCGCCCAGGGCUUCAAGGCAAUUUCCCAAAUAAAUUUCACCGGAUCGAUAAACUCCCAUUCUGUUUUCUUUCCUAAACUGAGGGAAAGGGGGAAAAAAAUGAGAAAAAGUAAAUGUUUUCUUUUUAGCCAAAUGGAACAGAAAUCCGAGUUUAACAGAGGUACCCAUCUCAGAAUUCUGAGGGUGCACACGGAAGCCCUGUAAUUCAGCUGGUUUGUAUUAUCAUUUUGCUUUCCCUUUCUGAAAAAGUACGCAUUUGGAGCCCUGAAAAAUGGCAUGCACUGUUUUGAACCCCUUGAAAGGUGCCCAUACAAGGCAUCACACAGCUGUCCUUCGUGACUGUUAAAUAUUUAUCAGCAAGGCAAAUUCCUCCAAGGUUACAGCAAGUACAGUCUGCAGUGACCUGCCUCUGUGCUUUCACAAUUAAGCAGCAGACUCCUUCAACAUGUUCAGCAUCUCAUUCAGCUGCGAGAGCUUCGUCCUCUGGAGCCCUGAGAUAGCUCCAUUACUAUGUAGCAACGCUGCGGGUUUCUCUGCAAAGAAGCAGCAGCAUGUGGGAGCUUGAAGUUCUACAGAGAAGAGUGUAAAUUGGCCGCUUCCACGUGAACUCAGCUUGAUGUGCCUGUCUGCUCUGCUUACCAUGAGCUGUCCUCAGCCUGUACCUGGAUCACAUUACUGGCUUCAGCACUGCACCUGCAUGAGGGCAGGUAUUUCUUUUAGGUGCGAUGGAUUGUCUUCAAGCAAUUGAAUUUAUCUCUGCUGACUACAGAGGGAGCUGAGACCGGAUUCCCGGCUUUCUGAGGGUUAGAGUUAGGUGGAAUGAAUCUUUGCUCAAGCAUUCAACCACAGCUCCUUGGCUCGUGCUGUUAGCUUCCUGAAUUCCCAGAUGAGCUCCCCACACCGUUUAGCCAGGCCUGGAACCGCUUAUUUUCUCUGAACUGAUGGGAUGAGAUGCAGCGAGUUCAGCAAAGCCAUCGGCAUUUCAAAAUUAUAUGUGAACACACCAAUUUGCUGCCUUGUUUUUCAAACAGUGCUGUGAACAUGCCUCGUGCUUAAAGCACCCUCUGUAAUGGUGAUCACUUAAAAAAUCCAAU